GACAGAGGUGCCAAGCGUUAGGCGGAAUCACUGGGCUUAAAGCGUGUGUAGGCGGAUGCCUAAGUACCUUGUGAAAUCCCACGGCUCAACCGUGGAACUGCUGGGUAUACUGGGUGUCUUGGGCCAACUAGGGGUCGCUGGAACAAAUGGUGGAGCGGUGAAAUGCGUAGAUAUCAUUUGGAACGCCAAGGGCGAAAGCAAGCGACUGGGGUUGUGCCGACGCUGAGACACGAAAGCCAGGGGAGCGAACGGG
This 253-nucleotide ribosomal RNA is filed under the name uncultured bacterium. RNAcentral's name for it is "partial 16S ribosomal RNA". It matches the Rfam family "Bacterial small subunit ribosomal RNA", at positions 524 to 776 of the family's 1533-position model. The record is from RNAcentral. RNAcentral also lists the same sequence under 1 other name.